Molecule: long non-coding RNA, 1688 nt
Organism: Anguilla rostrata (American eel)
Lineage: Eukaryota; Metazoa; Chordata; Actinopteri; Anguilliformes; Anguillidae
Exons: 3
Source: RefSeq, a predicted model, not a curated record
UAAUUUUCCUUUUUCAAGUCCCACGUAAAGUGACACUCCAGUCUCAUCAACUUCUCCCUAAUUAGAUUAAUUGGAAAAAGAUACGGUGUCAUCCCCAGCAGCACGUGGCUUUGUAUGUGCAUGCUAUUCAUUUUACAGAAGCAUAAUGCACCGUGGUAUUUUAGGACAUCCUAUAACAACUGAACUGUGGAAUUAAAUCAUAAUGGCCAAACUCUAUUAACUGUAGGCUAAGCAAAGGAAAACAGUUGAUGCCAACAUUGUCAUGGAUGCAGAGAUUAGUACCCAAGCCAUGUUUGAUUAAAUUAUUCAAAUGUUUUAACUCACAGCUUCCUUGCCAGAGUUGUGAAUAACAAGUCAUUUUAUUCACAAAAUAUCAAUAAAUAAUUAAAUAGGUAACUGUAAGGGUGCAUGUUAACUAUUGGGUCACGUCCUUCAUUGAUCCUAUAGCCUAAAUGCUUCUAGCUUGCACCUCUGCCGGUGGUACAGGGACCAAUACAAUCGAUUGCAAUAAAUUGACCUUUUCAAACAAAGUGAAGGUAAUCCCGCUACAAUUUAUUAUUACGACGUACAGACAGUAGGCUAGGCUACUUUUUGGUCAGUUUCGGGGACUUGUUGCAAAAAUUACGAUGCAGCACGCAGCCACGCCCUUUCCCAAAUAAGGUGUGACCUCACCCGCAGGAAGGGGAGGGCUUGCGGGAGGCAGGUGUGGUGGCGGGAGUUCAAACGUUCUUGUGAAUCGUUUGUGCCUUCGGUUUGUUUGUAUAUUCAAACAAAUAGACCUAUUUUGUUUAGUGAUAGGAUGGGGGUCUCAAACAAAGGACGUGUGUAUGAAUUUAGGCUGAUCUACUUUAGUUAGUGUUCUCGUUUGCCUGGGUAAACACCUGCUUUCGUAGAACGGACCUUCGUUAAGUAUCAAACCACUGGAAAUAUCUUCGUUCCGCGGUACUGUAGUAUGUUCUUCGGCUUGGACCGUAAUAGGAUCAUAACCGUAUAAACAAUCUAACUCAUCCAAUAUUGAGAAAGGAGAGGUGCCCCUGGCCUUGAAGACUGGACUGGCGUGGGCUCGAGGACAGUUUCCCGCAGCUACGGAAAUCCCCCAUCAGAUGAGCAUCUCUUUUGCCAGGACCUGAGGACCAAGAAACCAAGAAAAGUAUGACGAUAACUAGCCGCUUAACUAGCUAGCUUAUGGAAAGAAGCUUGAGGACAAUGCGCGUUGCUGCUUUUUUAAAAAUCCGGACUGGAGGCAUUCUCUCUCCGGAUGUGAACAAAUCGCAAGACGGACCUGCCCGUGUUUCUCGCGUCCUCCCGUAGAGGUAAUUGAUACAGCGCUGAUCAGUCACACUGUCAUAAAAACACAAUGGGUAAUGGCCCAGCGCCGUCUUCCUUCUUGUUUUACAAGACGUUGCGCUGUCUGCGGGGCGGUUAUAUUACCCCAGAAAUGAAGACAGACCUGUUUCACCGGCAACUGUAUAUAUUUAUUUUUCUGCUCUAUAAUCCCAUUUGUUCUGAAAAGAAAAGUCCAGAUACAGACUGAUAUAUUUUCUGGAUGGAUACAUGGAGAGAAAAGAGAGAUGGAUAGAUAGACAGAUAUAUAGCCUGACUUCUGUCUCAGUGUCGCCACGGUAACAAUACCACCGCUAUUAAACUUGUUUUGAAGACUUUUAUUAAACUUAAUACUUUUUAUUAAA